This 254-nucleotide ribosomal RNA is filed under the name uncultured bacterium. RNAcentral describes it as "partial 16S ribosomal RNA". It matches the Rfam family "Bacterial small subunit ribosomal RNA", at positions 524 to 776 of the family's 1533-position model. The record is from RNAcentral.
UACGUAGGGGCCUAGCGUUGUCCGGAAUUAUUGGGCGUAAAGAGCUCGUAGGUGGUUCGGCACGUCGGAUGUGAAAUCUCCACGCUUAACGUGGAGGGGCCAUUCGAAACUGCUGUGACUUGAGUCCGGUAGGGGAGUGUGGAAUUCCCGGUGUAGCGGUGAAAUGCGCAGAUAUCGGGAGGAACACCAGUAGCGAAGGCGGCACUCUGGGCCGGUACUGACACUGAGGAGCGAAAGCGUGGGGAGCGAACAGG